Molecule: ribosomal RNA, 765 nt
Filed under: uncultured bacterium
Lineage: Bacteria
Description: bacterial SSU rRNA
Rfam family: Bacterial small subunit ribosomal RNA
Source: RNAcentral
AGUGAACGCUGGCGGCAUGCCUAACACAUGCAAGUCGAACGGCAGCGCGGGCUUCGGCCUGGCGGCGAGUGGCGGACGGGUGAGGAAUGCAUCGGAAUCUGCCCAGUCGUGGGGGAUAACGUAGGGAAACUUACGCUAAUACCGCAUACGACCGAGAGGUGAAAGCGGGGGACUUUCGGGCCUCGCGCGAUUGGAUGAGCCGAUGCCGGAUUAGCUAGUUGGCGGGGUAAAGGCCCACCAAGGCGACGAUCCGUAGCUGGUCUGAGAGGAUGAUCAGCCACACUGGGACUGAGACACGGCCCAGACUCCUACGGGAGGCAGCAGUGGGGAAUAUUGGACAAUGGGCGCAAGCCUGAUCCAGCAAUGCCGCGUGGGUGAAGAAGGCCUCGGGUUGUAAAGCCCUUUUGUACGGAAGAAAGACGCUGGGUUAAUACCCUGGCGGGAUGACGGUACCGUAAGAAUAAGCACCGGCUAACUUCGUGCCAGCAGCCGCGGUAAUACGAAGGGUGCAAGCGUUACUCGGAAUUACUGGGCGUAAAGCGUGCGUAGGCGGUUUGUUAAGUCCGUUGUGAAGCCUGGGCUCAACCUGGGAACUGCAGUGGAUACUGGCAGGCUAGAGUGCGGUAGAGGAUGGUGGAAUUCCCGGUGUAGCGGUGAAAUGCGUAGAGAUCGGGAGGAACAUCGAUGGCGAAGGCAGCCAUCUGGACCAGCACUGACGCUGAGGCACGAAAAGCGUGGGGGAGCAAACAGGAUUAGAUACCCUGG